RNAcentral lists this ribosomal RNA (530 nucleotides) under uncultured bacterium. Its description in RNAcentral is "bacterial SSU rRNA". It matches the Rfam family "Bacterial small subunit ribosomal RNA", at positions 777 to 1306 of the family's 1533-position model. The record is from RNAcentral.
AAUAGAUACCCGGUAGUCCAUGCCGUAAACGUCGGGCACUAGGUGUGGGGCUCAUUCCACGAGUUCCGUGCCGCAGCAAACGCAUUAAGUGCCCCGCCUGGGGAGUACGGCCGCAAGGCUAAAACUCAAAGGAAUUGACGGGGGCCCGCACAAGCGGCGGAGCAUGCGGAUUAAUUCGAUGCAACGCGAAGAACCUUACCAAGGCUUGACAUGCACGAGAAGCCACCAGAGAUGGUGGUCUCUUUGGACACUCGUGCACAGGUGGUGCAUGGUUGUCGUCAGCUCGUGUCGUGAGAUGUUGGGUUAAGUCCCGCAACGAGCGCAACCCUCGUCCCAUGUUGCCAGCGGGUUAUGCCGGGGACUCAUGGGAGACUGCCGGGGUCAACUCGGAGGAAGGUGGGGAUGACGUCAAAUCAUCAUGCCCCUUAUGUCUUGGGCUUCACGCAUGCUACAAUGGCCGGUACAAAGGGCUGCGAUACCGUAAGGUGGAGCGAAUCCCAAAAAGCCGGUCUCAGUUCGGAUUGGGGUCG